This 253-nucleotide ribosomal RNA is filed under the name uncultured bacterium. RNAcentral's name for it is "partial 16S ribosomal RNA". It matches the Rfam family "Bacterial small subunit ribosomal RNA", at positions 524 to 776 of the family's 1533-position model. The record is from RNAcentral.
UACGUAGGGGGCAAGCGUUGUCCGGAAUCAUUGGGCGUAAAGAGCGUGUAGGCGGUCAGGUAAGUGGGGUGUGAAAGUCCAGGGCUCAACCCUGGGAUGCCGGUCGAUACUGCCGGACUAGAGUUCGGAAGAGGCGAGUGGAAUUCCCGGUGUAGCGGUGAAAUGCGCAGAUAUCGGGAGGAACACCUAUGGCGAAGGCAGCUCGCUGGGACGUUACUGACGCUGAGACGCGAAAGCGUGGGGAGCAAACAGG